This 462-nucleotide ribosomal RNA is filed under the name Triticum aestivum (bread wheat). Its description in RNAcentral is "partial small subunit ribosomal RNA". Lineage: Eukaryota; Viridiplantae; Streptophyta; Magnoliopsida; Poales; Poaceae. The record is from RNAcentral.
AUGUCGACGAUGUUGUCGUCCAACAUUUGCACAAAGUCGGUCGUCGCAUCAUGCAAAACGGCGCUGCAAUUUCGAUCGACAAGUCAUGAACACGCGCAAUGGGAAAAAGUGAAAGAAUUGCAAGCAAUCGAAGCAUCAUACCUCGAGGCCAUUCCGUCGAACACCUCGGGGGCGGCGGAAGCAGCGCCAUCGGCGGUCAUCCUCGGGGCAGCUCUUGCCGGAGCUAUCAGGGGAGGUGUUGGCGGGGUCGCUCUUGUGGUGGUCUUCUUACGCUUCACACCGGCAACCUUCCCUUUCUUCGCCGGCACAGAACACACUGAUUCGCAGCGGCAGGGACAGCGGGAGCACAUGCCUUCCAGGCGGGGCCUGCGGGAGCACCGUCUUGAACGACUACGUUGCCGUGACGUUUGCAGGGCGACGCGACGGAGCCUUGAACGACGAAGGGUGCUACAUCGCCGGUGA